AGAGUUUGAUCAUGGCUCAGGAUGAACGCUGGCGGCGUGCCUAAUACAUGCAAGUCGAGCGAACGGACGAGAAGCUUGCUUCUCUGAUGUUAGCGGCGGACGGGUGAGUAACACGUGGAUAACCUACCUAUAAGACUGGGAUAACUUCGGGAAACCGGAGCUAAUACCGGAUAAUAUUUUGAACCGCAUGGUUCAAAAGUGAAAGACGGUCUUGCUGUCACUUAUAGAUGGAUCCGCGCUGCAUUAGCUAGUUGGUAAGGUAAACCGGGCCUUACCCAAAGGGCAAACGAAUGCAUAGCCGACCUGAGAGGGUGAUCGGCCACACUGGAACUGAGACACGGUCCAGACUCCUACGGGAGGCAGCAGUAGGGAAUCUUCCGCAAUGGGCGAAAGCCUGACGGAGCAACGCCGCGUGAGUGAUGAAGGUCUUCGGAUCGUAAAACUCUGUUAUUAGGGAAGAACAUAUGUGUAAGUAACUGUGCACAUCUUGACGGUACCUAAUCAGAAAGCCACGGCUAACUACGUGCCAGCAGCCGCGGUAAUACGUAGGUGGCAAGCGUUAUCCGGAAUUAUUGGGCGUAAAGCGCGCGUAGGCGGUUUUUUAACGUCUGAUGUGAAAGCCCACGGCUCAACCGUGGAGGGUCAUUGGAAACUGGAAAACUUGAGUGCAGAAGAGGAAAGUGGAAUUCCAUGUGUAGCGGUGAAAUUGCGCAGAGAUAUGGAAGGAACACCAGUGGCGAAGGCGACUUUCUGGUCUGUAACUGACGCUGAUGUGCGAAAGCGUGGGGAUCAAACAGGAUUAGAUACCCUGGUAGUCCACGCCGUAAACGAUGAGUGCUAAGUGUCAGGGGGUUUCCGCCCCUUAGUGCUGCAGCUAACGCAUUAAGCACUCCGCCUGGGGAGUACGACCGCAAGGUUGAAACUCAAAGGAAUUGACGGGGGCCCGCACAAG
RNAcentral lists this ribosomal RNA (952 nucleotides) under Staphylococcus aureus. RNAcentral's name for it is "bacterial SSU rRNA". It matches the Rfam family "Bacterial small subunit ribosomal RNA", at positions 8 to 929 of the family's 1533-position model. The record is from RNAcentral. Lineage: Bacteria; Bacillati; Bacillota; Bacilli; Caryophanales; Staphylococcaceae.